UACGUAGGGUCCGAGCGUUGUCCGGAAUCAUUGGGCGUAAAGCGCAUGUAGGCGGCCCUUUAAGUCGGAUGUGAAAUCCCGAGGCUCAACCCCGGAACUGCAUCCGAUACUGUAUGGCUUGAGGAAGGUAGAGGAGAGUGGAAUUCCCGGUGUAGCGGUGGAAUGCGCUGAUAUCGGGAGGAACACCAGCGGCGAAGGCGGCUCUCUGGGCCUCUCCUGACGCUGAGAUGCGAAAGUGUGGGGAGCAAACAGG
Molecule: unclassified non-coding RNA, 253 nt
Filed under: uncultured Nitriliruptoraceae bacterium
Lineage: Bacteria; Bacillati; Actinomycetota; Nitriliruptoria; Nitriliruptorales; Nitriliruptoraceae
Description: contains 16S-23S intergenic spacer region
Rfam family: Bacterial small subunit ribosomal RNA
Source: RNAcentral